CCAACAGCAGAUUGACAGUACAUUAUGUGAUGUAUUUGCAUUGAAAUUUGCAGAGUGUCUCCUGAAAAAGGAAAAUAUUAGUAUUCCUGCCACAAAAGCUGUGAUAAACAGACGGAGGCUGGACAUUGCUGUUACCCUUCUCCUGGACAUUGAUUCAGUGUUUGGCGUGGAUCCACCAAGAAUGCCUUCAAGGCCCACCAUCAGCAGAGGAAAGUUUUAUUUGCAUCGCAUGUAAAUGUUUUUAGUAGAGCAGUCAAAUUAUUUUAUUUUAUUUUUUUAAGUCAGAUUAAUCACUUGUUGGUAUUUUGAUUAAUCAUGAUUAAUGACAGGUGAUUAAUCUAUUGCAAAAUGGAAGUUAGUUUACACAGAUACAAUUUUAUUCUGAGAAUGUAUUCCAGGAAAGUUUUUAUACGUUUCACUUGAAUCCAUGUCAUUUACAGUAUUUGCACAAAACUUAGAAAACAGUUUUAUCUCAAAUUCUUCAAGGGUGUAUUCUGUAAGUGAAUGGGUCUUCUCACUCGUUGUUGUACGGACUUAUGCAUUGAUCUGAUCACGGACCGUAUAGCAGUUGAGCUUAAAGAGCGUGUAAGGCCAAAAUAAAUUGCAUGAUUAAACUUAAGUCUGUACAUGAUUACUGAUAUAAUAUUUUCUGAUUAAUUACAUGAUUAUCUUGUUAUUUUGACAGCCCAAGUUCCUAUUAAUAUGUAUAGAUUGUUAAA
Long non-coding RNA from Entelurus aequoreus (snake pipefish), 719 nucleotides. RefSeq lists it as uncharacterized. The record is from RefSeq and is a predicted model, not a curated record. The transcript is spliced from 3 exons. Lineage: Eukaryota; Metazoa; Chordata; Actinopteri; Syngnathiformes; Syngnathidae.